AUGAGGAUGAAAUAUUCUGGACUGAAUUUGUUGUGUUGAAAUUCUUCAGUCCUCUAAGAAGUUCUGAAUAG
RNAcentral lists this small nucleolar RNA (71 nucleotides) under Mercenaria mercenaria. RNAcentral's name for it is "small nucleolar RNA SNORD61". It matches the Rfam family "Small nucleolar RNA SNORD61". From Rfam's summary of the family: U61 belongs to the C/D class of snoRNA which contain the C (UGAUGA) and D (CUGA) box motifs. Most of the members of the box C/D family function in directing site-specific 2'-O-methylation of substrate RNAs. The record is from RNAcentral. Lineage: Eukaryota; Metazoa; Mollusca; Bivalvia; Venerida; Veneridae.